AUGGGGCUGGGAGUAGCCCUCGGAGACUGGCUUGGCAGGGAACCUCAUCUCUUUAGGGCAGACAUCACAGUGUUGACUUGCACAGACACAUCUGUAUUUCUUGUGAAGCACCAGGGACGAGCCCUCCUGUUUUUUUCUUUCUUAGUUCCAAAAGGUGAAGAAAGGGCAACCCGCCCCUUCGAACCGCUCCAGGUACUUGCAGUAGUGAGCCUCCCGUCCCCGGAGGCAUGUCAGCAGAGGCUGCGUGAUUUCCUGGAAGGGAGUUUUCUAUUGGACUGUGUACAGGGAAGAUCUGGGAUUCCAGAGAGGAGCCCUGGGCAGGAGGUGGAGCACAAGUGGAUGCAGGUCUCCCGUUGUACAGAUAACAAAACCGAGUCCCAGGGAGGGGCCGAGAACUUCCAAGCUGUCCUCUGUGUGUGGGAAGCCCUUCUCCAUCUUCUUGCUCAUCCACGGGAGCAUGUGGCCCGCGAAAGCCGGCCAUUUUGGCCCAUGUUCCCGUUGAGUAGAACCGAGUCAUGUGACCCCCAACCUAAUCGCAAGGGUGGCUGGGAAACACGGAAGCGCACACGGAAGUCUGCUGAGCACCAUUGCCUCCGCCAUCCUCCCCUAUUAGAAGGUAAGCUCCCUGAGGGAAGGGACUUGGUCAUCCUUGUCACCACUGUCUCCCAGCAGCUGCCACGUGUUGAACACCUGCGAGGCUUGGAUGCAUGA
Molecule: long non-coding RNA, 711 nt
Filed under: Felis catus (domestic cat)
Lineage: Eukaryota; Metazoa; Chordata; Mammalia; Carnivora; Felidae
Description: lncRNA (ENSFCAG00000046611.2)
Source: RNAcentral